UGAAAUGUCUAUAUUAAGGUUUCAAUUCACUGAAGAUUGCAAGAGAGGAGCAGUUCGCUAAAAUGGCGAUAGGAUUCCUGAUUUUGACCGGCCUGCUGGCCUUCGGCACGUACUGGACCACCAGGUACCUGAUCUCGGCGGCGGAGCAGAGCACUACCACCUCUACUACUGUCACGCCAAACGACGAAAGUAUACUACGCUUGAUGUUUAAUAAGUCUGGUUGACAUCGACAUCAGCUGUCCCGCUUCAACUUGCAUACUUCGGACUCGCGAGGAAGGCAUUUAUCGUUGCAACAUAUUAAUGCUUAAAUAUUUAGUGAAAUUGUAUUUAUUAGGUUCUUUUUUAUUUACUUAAUUUUGAUUUCAACCGGAUGCAAGACGAAAUGCCUGCUUUUUUUGAUGUUUCAUAUUUGCAACAUGUUUCCAGUCAUAGGAGAGUGACAACUUUAAACAUCUCAUCUUGAUUUGACUUUCAGUGCGUUUCGCUCAAACUCAUACAUAAGCAAGUUGCAAAAAAUCAAUCUCUAACUACCUAGGAACAUUUUUGUUCAUCCAAUCCCUUUCUCCGAUGUACCUUAUGGUAACUCCGCCAAGUUUAAACAUUCUAACUAAUCAUAUCUGAAAAACCUUGAACAUAUUUUUAUUUUUUAUAUGCUUAAUUGAUCUGAAAAUUAUGCGUGAAAAUAAGAAUGAAACUUGUCA
Cydia pomonella (codling moth) is the source of this 701-nucleotide long non-coding RNA. RefSeq lists it as uncharacterized. The record is from RefSeq and is a predicted model, not a curated record. NCBI's taxonomy places the organism in Eukaryota, Metazoa, Arthropoda, Insecta, Lepidoptera, Tortricidae. The transcript has 3 exons.